UACGUAGGGGGCAAGCGUUGUCCGGAUUUAUUGGGCGUAAAGAGCGUGUAGGCGGCCAUACAGGUCCGUUGUGAAAACUCGAGGCUCAACCUCGAGACGCCGGUGGAAACCGUAUGGCUAGAGUCCGGAAGAGGAGAGUGGAAUUCCUGGUGUAGCGGUGAAAUGCGCAGAUAUCAGGAAGAACACCCGUGGCGAAGGCGGCUCUCUGGGACGUGACUGACGCUGAGACGCGAAAGCGUGGGGAGCAAACAGG
This 253-nucleotide ribosomal RNA is filed under the name uncultured bacterium. RNAcentral's name for it is "partial 16S ribosomal RNA". It matches the Rfam family "Bacterial small subunit ribosomal RNA", at positions 524 to 776 of the family's 1533-position model. The record is from RNAcentral.